Molecule: ribosomal RNA, 892 nt
Filed under: Pseudomonas sp.
Lineage: Bacteria; Pseudomonadati; Pseudomonadota; Gammaproteobacteria; Pseudomonadales; Pseudomonadaceae
Description: bacterial SSU rRNA
Rfam family: Bacterial small subunit ribosomal RNA
Source: RNAcentral
GAUGGGGGCGGCCUACCAUGCAGUCGAGCGGAUGAGAGGAGCUUGCUCUUCGAUUCGACGGCGGACGGGUGAGUAAUGCCUAGGAAUCUGCCUAGUAGUGGGGGACAACGUUUCAAAGGGAACGCUAAUACCGCAUACGUCCUACGGGAGAAAGUGGGGGAUCUUCGGACCUCACGCUAUUAGAUGAGCCUAGGUCGGAUUAGCUAAUUGGUAGGGUAAAGGCCUACCAGGGCAACGAUCCGUAACUGGUCUGAAAGGAUGAUCAAUCCCUCUGGAACUGAGACACGGUCCAUACUCCUACGGGAGGCAGCACUGGGGAAUAUUGGACAAUGGGCGAAAGCCUGAUCCAGCCAUGCCGCGUGUCUGAAGAAGGCCUUCGGGUCGUAAAGCACUUUAAAUUGGGAGGAAGGGCUCAUAGCGAAUACCUGUGAGUUUUGACGUUACCAACAAAAUAAGCACCGGCUAACUUCGUGCCAACAGCCGCGGUAAUACUAAUGGUGCAAGCGUUGAUCUCAAUUACUGGGCGUCUAGCGCGCGUAUGUGGCUUGAUAAUCUGGAUGAGAGAUCAGCGGACUCAACCUGCGAGCUGCAUCCUAAACUGUCUGGAUAUACUGAGGAACAGCAUAGUGGAAUUUCCAGUGUAGCGGUGAUAUGCAUACAUAUUGGAAAGAACACCAGUGGCGAACGCGACUACCUGCACUGACACUGACCCCUGAUGUGCGAUAGCGUGUGGGCGCACACAGGAUUAGAUACUCUGGGAGUCCACGCCCGUAAAUCGAUGUCUACUACCUCGGGUGAGUAUCGUCGAGAUCAUAGUAGCUGCAGCUUACUGCACUGAGUGCACGACAUGCGGAGUACGGAUCGUGCGAUGUAUUUAUCAACACGCAAAUGA